GUUCUUCCGCCAGCGCCCAUCGUGAAGACCACAGUUUCCUGUCGCGUGGAUGUGUUUCCUCUCUGGCCAUUGCCAUCCGCCCAAAUCUACAGACAUCCCGCAUGUUCCCGGGCUCGUCUCCCCAAUACAGGGCACCAAGGCUGUAGACUGCGCAGCCCUCCUGGAGACAGAUGGAAGCUCCUUGGGUCGACAGAUUACAGCUUCUGGAACCCCCUACUCCCUUCAACUCCGAGAUGGACACCCACUGUCCAGGGAGAGGAUGCCUGGAAAUAACAGCUGGGAUCUACAGUGGCCAAAGAGUUGUCUCCGUCUUGCUACAUCGACAAACUGGUGCUCCUGAGUGAGGAUUGUGCCCUGGGAUGGGGGAUUCAGUUUCUUCAUUUAUAGUUGGAAGUGGGUGAAGUGCCAGGAGCGACGGUACACUCCAGAGUGCUGUGCCCUGAUGGGCCUUUGAGUGGCCAGUGCAGUGGAUCAUCAGCCCUGUCUCCCAAGAGCUCCAGUCCCUUCUCCGGAGAGGAAGUGGGUCCACUGGCAGCUCAGGAGGCCAUAGCAGGAUUGUCACGUGUGCUCAACAGUCCUCCUCGGCUUUCCAGAAGAGGCUGGAACAGGGCCCUUGAAGGUAUGACUCCAGAUGCCUCACUAGAGAGCUGCAGAGGUCCAGCAAAGGCCCACAGUCAUGAAGAAAAGCUGAGGCUGCUUCCCCACCCGGGCCAGCGGGAACAUGGCUCCUCCAGCCCCUGACACCUCACUUCCCCACAUCUUCAUAGUGUGAAGUAAAGAGCUACACUAGGGUCACAGGAGCCCCUGGGAACCUGCAUGGCUUCAUUGGGUUCUGCAGUUGGCUUGAGAAUGGCUACAAUUGGGGUGCAGUUAGCCUUCUCUGAACUUCUCUGAACUCUGGGCACUUGUUAGGGAGCAGUCCCGUCCCAGACUCAUGAGGACUCGUGAGUCCUCAGAAGUUAACCCCCCCCCCAACUUGUCUUUUUUCAUUCAUUGUCUUAGUAAGAGGCCACUGAAGUAAUGGUUCUCAAAUUGUGGUCUCUGAAGCAACACUACCACCAUCCCUUGGAGUGUGUGAGAGUGGUCCUGCCUGCAGGCAGCAGUAUUUAGCAGCUCUCCAGGGGAUUCAUGGUUGAGAAGAUUGGAGAGUUGGGAAGCUACCUCUGUUACAGGCUAUGUUUGUGGACAUCAGAGGGCCAAAGACGACACAAAGUGAAACUGGAGACACCGCCCCCCCUUGGCAUCAUGAAACUGCCGAUGUUACUGGCUCAUGCAUGGGAGACACCAGCAUACAAAGUCUUGACACCAACACCUCAGAGGGCUGUGUUCUGUCCCCGUGACCAUCAUCUAGUGCCUGGAAAGACUAGUGACAAGAACUUGUUGCCAACUUCCUAUUACCUCCCUAACAGUUGUGCAAUAAACCCCAUAGGUUAAUUCA
This 1438-nucleotide long non-coding RNA is filed under the name Mus musculus (house mouse). RNAcentral describes it as "small nucleolar RNA host gene 17". The record is from RNAcentral. Lineage: Eukaryota; Metazoa; Chordata; Mammalia; Rodentia; Muridae.